Non-coding RNA from Dipodomys spectabilis (banner-tailed kangaroo rat), 961 nucleotides. The record is from the annotation of a RefSeq genome assembly. NCBI's taxonomy places the organism in Eukaryota, Metazoa, Chordata, Mammalia, Rodentia, Heteromyidae.
GAAAGGGACAGAAGUGACAUCCAGAUAGGAGAUCUUAAGUCUUCAACUGAUCCUACUUGGGAAGAAAAAUGAAGAGAUUGAUUAAUGAUUUAUUCCUGCUCCUGUGGCUGCAGCUGCACUUGCUGAGCCAAGGAGAGAAGGUGGAGCAGAGUCCUUCUGUCCUGAGUGUGCAGGAGGGAGAUGGAUGUGUCAUCAACUGUACUUACACAGACAGUGCCUUCUCAUACUUCCCUUGGUACAAGAAAGAACCAGGACAGGGUCCCCAGCUUAUUAUAGACAUCCGUUCAAAUCGGGACAGAAAUGAAAAUGGAAAACUCCUGGUCUUAUUGAAGAAGAAUGACAAACACCUUUCCCUGCUCAUCAAAGACACUCAGCCUGGGGACUCAGCUGUCUACUACUGUGCAGCAAGUACACAUUGCUCCCCAGGCACCUGCAGCCCGUCCUCAAACCUGCCUCUAGGAUUGCAGCCCACAUCUUUCCUUGCCAUAGCCCUUCCAGCCCAGCAUUUGCCUAUUGUUUGCAAGUGGCAGCUAACACAGAGAUACUAAGAAUAAAUAUUAAGAAUAAAUAUUAUGUUUAGGGGACAUGGCUGUUGAGAACCUCUUAUAGGUGGAUUAUUUGUAAGAGACAAUUUUUUCUAGUUUAUUUAGUAUUAUUUAUAGGAAGGAUACAUGCUUUGAGGUGAAAGAAAAAUCGGUAGAGCUAGGUUUAGGGAUGGAACACAAGGUCUCAUUUCCCAACCUCUCUGGGCAUGCCAAAUCCAGGCUCAUCCUCAGAUUCAGCAUUUGUUAAGCUGCACUUAACAACUUGUUAGAAGCAACUAAUGGUGGGUUCUUUUCUUUUUGUCUUGUGCCAGUAUGUAGACUUGAACUCAGGGCUUGGACCCUGCCCUUGAGCUUUUGUGUUCAAAGCUAGUGCUCUAGCACUUAAGCCAAAGCUCAAUUCCAGCUUUUGAUGAGUA